This 491-nucleotide ribosomal RNA is filed under the name uncultured bacterium. RNAcentral describes it as "bacterial SSU rRNA". It matches the Rfam family "Bacterial small subunit ribosomal RNA", at positions 29 to 518 of the family's 1533-position model. The record is from RNAcentral.
AUGAAUGCUGGCGGCGUGCCUAAUACAUGCAAGUCGAGCGGCAGCGAGGGUCUCAUCCUAUUCUGGAAGUUUUCGAGAAUAGAAUGAGAUCUGUCGGCGAGCGGCGGACGGCUGAGUAACGCAUGGGAACGCACCCCAAACUGAGGGAUAACUAGUCGAAAGAUUAGCUAAUACCGCAUGUGAUCUUCGGAUUAAAGCUUUCGGGCGGUUUGGGAGCGGCCUGUGUACGAUUAGAUAGUUGGUGAGGUAAUGGCUCACCAAGUCAACGAUCGUUAGAUGGUUUGAGAGGAUGAUCAUCCAGACUGGGACUGAGACACGGCCCAGACUCCUACGGGAGGCAGCAGUAGGGAAUCUUUCACAAUGGGCGAAAGCCUGAUGGAGCCAACGCCGCGUGCAGGAUGAAGGCCUUCGGGUUGUAAACUGCUUUUAUAAGCGAGGAAUAUGACGGUAACUUAUGAAUAAGGAUCGGCUAACUACGUGCCAGCAGCUGC